AUUGAACGCUGGCGGCAUGCUUUACACAUGCAAGUCGAACGGUAACAGGCCUUCGGGUGCUGACGAGUGGCGGACGGGGGCGUAAUGCAUCGGAACGUGCCCAGAGGUGGGGGAUAACGCAGCGAAAGCUGUGCUAAUACCGCAUGUGAUCUGAGGAUGAAAGCGGGGGACAAAGCAGGAAUGUUUGGCCUCGCGCCUCUGAAGCGGCCGAUGUCAGAUUAGGUAGUUGGUGGGGUAAAGGCCCACCAAGCCGACGAUCUGUAGCUGGUCUGAGAGGACGACCAGCCACACUGGGACUGAGACACGGUCCAGACUCCUACGGGAGGCAGCAGUGGGGAAUUUUGGACAAUGGGCGCAAGCCUGAUCCAGCCAUGCCGCGUGCGUGAAGAAGGCCUUCGGGUUGUAAAGCGCUUUUGUUCGGAACGAAAAGCCUCUGGCUAAUACCUGGGGCUGAUGACGGUACCGUAAGAAUAAGCACCGGCUAACUACGUG
RNAcentral lists this ribosomal RNA (492 nucleotides) under uncultured bacterium. RNAcentral's name for it is "partial 16S ribosomal RNA". It matches the Rfam family "Bacterial small subunit ribosomal RNA", at positions 30 to 507 of the family's 1533-position model. The record is from RNAcentral.